GCAGCAGCUUCCCCCCUCCCCACCCCAAAGCAGGAGGGAAAAUCCUCUGCCUAGCGUUCCCCUCCCCUUCCCCCUGCUCCUCCCUCUUCCUCUGCGCCCCUCCGGCCUCCAGGACCUUGCUCAGCCUCCCUCGCCUGCUUCAGAGCUGGGGCCGGGAAGCGAGGACCGAGAUCAGAGCCGCGGAUCUGGGAGCAGAAGCGUCGCCGACGUCCGCGGUGCUGAAGCGGAGCGAGGAGGCUUGCAGAGCUGGGCGGCCGCCGCCGCUGUCCGCGGUGCCGAAGCAGGAGGACAUAGAGACUCGGGGAGCGGGGCCGUAGCCGUCUCUUCCCACCCCUGGGGCGCAGCGCAACCCCCGCCGCCGGUUCCUGCUUGCCUCCCUCUCCACCGGUUCCCCGCACGCCGAGAUGGGAGCGGCUUUCUCCAGCCUGCCGGGACCCAAGCCAGGCAGCCAGCCAGCAGGAUGUUUUGAAAUAUUACUUUACAUGACUCAACAAAUUCAAGCUGAAGAUAUUAAUCUCGGAAAUGAAAACACAGUCAAAUUGUGUUAGAACACAAUGUGAAGUUAUUAGAUACUCCUUUCUUCAACUCUUCUUAAUCUUUUCAGUCCAUAGCAUAAAUAUUAGGGUGUUUCUGUGCAAAAGCCUAAGCAGGACAACAAGAAGCUUUAGAAUCUCUAUCCUGCAACCAGCAAGUGCCUGCAACUUGGAUCAACGAGGACCUGUACUCCACACACUAUAGGCUGGGAAAAUGACUCAGCAGAGUGGGACACACCAGCCAAGAUACACAUAGGGAGGCUCUUUGAGCAAAACUUCUGUCACAACAAUAAUUAAUUUUUCAAAUGAACAUUUCUAAAAAGAUGAAGACAUACUUCAGUCUGGUGGUGAAACUUCCCUGGCAAUUAGUGAGAGACUAGGGUGGUAAAAGACUCUAGUUACUGCAGCUGUACACAGAUUUUAUUGAGCUUAAUGGAAAUGAUACACACUUAUUGAUGAAUGAAUAGAUCACUCUGAAUUUACUAGGGCUGUCAAAUGUUGUCUGCUAAAUGGAAUUCAUCCUGGUCAGAGCUAUAUUUACAGAUUGUGAAUGUCAAGAAGAAAAACACCAUGUCAGAAAGCUAGAAAGGAUAAUUACGAAUUUCAAUCACUGAGGAGAUCAAAUGGCAUCCAAUGAAGUGAUCAGCUGAAGACACAAAAUAGAAGCCAAGCUAGAAAAGAACCUGAAACUUCUGAACUACAUUUAAAUGCAAAAGCCCUGGUUUUCACUCCCAAGAAACUACCAUUUUGGCAUAGCUUCUUCUUUCUACGUUUUUGUUUGCCAAGGACAUGGCAGAACUCUACAACGUAUGCACAGCAACAUUUCUGUACAGGUCUCUGGGUUGAUAGACAUGAGGAUGUCACACAGGAGACAUAUGCCAUCUCUUUAACAUUAUGACCAAACAUGGUUUUGAUUACAUGUGUAGAAUCAAAUACCAUGCAAUGGAGACCUCUGUUACUAACAAAGUCAUGUGUUUGUGUGGUAGUCUGAGGGAUCAUAGGUCCCCCCUAAAACAAAACUACAGGGACAGAGGCCCAUCCCAGGAUAUUGUAACAUUUUAAUUCUCUUCCAUCUUCUGGUAUCACAGCUUAAAAGACAGUGCCUGAGUGAUCUCUCCCCCUUCUCUUCCCUACCUUUCUUGCUUCCACUUCUCUCUGCUGACAGCACACACUCUUAUCUCAUGGUUUGUGGGCAGCUGGAGGGCAGAGAGUUGAGCCACUGAGGCCUCGUAGGCCCAGCUGGGGUGGGGGAGUUUCGGUCUACCUGCAGGUCAGCUGAGGGUGGGAGGGGUGGAGGAUUCUAGGAGGCCAGUCUGGGGCUAGCAAGAUUUUAUACUUACUCUACCUGACUGCCUUGUGUAUGUGUGCCCUUGUCAAUAGCAUUUGUUCUCUAAACUUCCAAUCAGUGUGCAGUAUGCUCAUUCUUAUUCCUGCAAAGGGCUAAGAGACAUUUCUGUCCUCCAGUACUGGGUAAGCUCGUGGCCCCAACUGGGACAGUUUAUUAAGACCAACAUGGUUUUUUCUAUUGAGAUUGCCCACAAACAUAGCUCUUUUUCCAAGGACACAUCAAAGUUGUGAUCAUAGACUCACUUCAGUUGGAAAAGAGCUUUAAGAUCAAAUCCAGUCACUGACUCCACCAAGUCUAAUGCUAAACCAUGUUUCUGCCUCUUUUAAAUGCCUCCAGGAAUGGAAACGCAACCACCUCCCUUGGGAGCUUAUUCCAGUCUUUGAUAAUUAUCUGCCUGUGAGUAGCUGUAAAGAUGUGAAGAAAAUGCUUUCUAGAGAUGCAAGGAAAGCAAGCCUUCCCUAACCUCCCUAAUAUGGAACUAAAAAGGAAGAUGAGGGUGAUCUUGCAGAAGAGAGCCAUUAUCUUCUCCAUAUUCCAUGCAACUAAAAUGCAGCAUUACAGGUUGAAGAGAAUGCAGCUUGGCUGUACUAAAAUCAAGCCCAUAAAAAAACUGGCAUGUGUACAUUGGGAAGCAUAGCAAAAACAUGAGUUUGAUGCUUUCCUUACCUGCUCAACAACUGUGUUUUGAUAAAGUGACAUUAAACCUCUCAAA
Pogoniulus pusillus (Red-fronted tinkerbird) is the source of this 2593-nucleotide long non-coding RNA. RefSeq lists it as uncharacterized. The transcript has 2 exons. Lineage: Eukaryota; Metazoa; Chordata; Aves; Piciformes; Lybiidae. The record is from RefSeq and is a predicted model, not a curated record.